Molecule: non-coding RNA, 290 nt
Organism: Pelobates cultripes (western spadefoot toad)
Lineage: Eukaryota; Metazoa; Chordata; Amphibia; Anura; Pelobatidae
Source: the annotation of a GenBank genome assembly
GUCUAGAUAGCGGGCGUAGAACACGGCCCACAAAACAGCAAGAUAGGAUGUGAGAGUUUCUUUCCAUGCAAUACUUACUGCCAGCAUUAAUAUUUGUUUGAAAUGAAAGAAUGGGGGCGAGGUCACCAUAAAAAAUUAUUGCUGAAUCCACGUCGGUGUGAAUUUAGUCAGAUGGUUGUAAUUAACACGGAUCCCCUUCAUUAUUCUGUUUGCUUCAUUUAUACAAGUUUGUAAUACUUUUCCUCGUUUUUUUAAUGAUUAAACAUUUCUAGUUCUUCUUAAAAACGACU